Molecule: long non-coding RNA, 573 nt
Organism: Solea senegalensis (Senegalese sole)
Lineage: Eukaryota; Metazoa; Chordata; Actinopteri; Pleuronectiformes; Soleidae
Exons: 4
Source: RefSeq, a predicted model, not a curated record
AGGGAGGAUGAGUUGGUGAGCAGGAGACAUGAGGGCACUGGGUACGCCGUGUCCUUAAAAAGCCUCUGAGGAAGUAGAGGGAGAGGCAGGGAUGAGAGGAGAGGAUGAGCAGUGCGGCGUGGCUGGGAAAGAGCCUCUUUGCAACAAACUUGUCACAUGUACAACCAAGCAAUUUACAUCUGAUGCCUUAAAAACCCACGCAGACGGGGAGAACAUGCAGUGACAACAGCUUCAUUUGAUGUCAACUAAAAGAAUAAAGCUACAGAGAGAGAGAGAGAGGUGGAGGACAAGCAGCCAUUAUCAGUCUCUGCAUGUCAAGGAUAAAGAUUGCCCUUGAAGACGUCCUGAACGUGACGCAUUACAGAACUAUGCGAAAGUCGCGUUUAAUCACGUAAGUAAAAAAAAUAAUUUUUAUUCUUUAAAAAAAGUAAGACCUCGUACAGUGCAGAUAUAAAUGUCCAAGCAAACUGUGUCCCAGUUGCACACCAGCUAUGGUUGCAUGUGUGGAGGAGUGACUCCACCUCGGUAGCCUAGAUGGUGCUGUAUCUCUCUAUAAGCUAGUGCUGUAUCUCU